Molecule: long non-coding RNA, 1081 nt
Organism: Camelus dromedarius (Arabian camel)
Lineage: Eukaryota; Metazoa; Chordata; Mammalia; Artiodactyla; Camelidae
Exons: 2
Source: RefSeq, a predicted model, not a curated record
UUCUGCAGAACCCAGACAGCAUCACAGAGCCCCCUGCCUUCCCCAGGCACCUGGGUGGUACAGGAUGCAGCAGCCCUUCCUUGGUGGUGGUGGUGGCGGCGGGGUGCCUGUCGAGUCAAAUACCCCCGCCCCCCACUAAGCCAGGAGAGGAAGGAACAGAUAAAUCCUGGCCUGGCCUCUGAACCUCUGGUCCAGCUGAGAGGAGGAGGCUGUUGGCCGGAGCGUGGGCAGCUGUUUCCGGUGCUCGGCUAGGCAGAGGCAUAGCUGGGCCCACUCCUUGGUCAUCUCCAGAAGGUCCUGUGCCCAGGAGAGCAGGGUGACCCAGCAGAAAGAGCACAGGUUUUCAGGCCAGACAGUCCUGGAUUCCACUCCAGGCUUGGCUGUGUGACCUUGGGCAGGUUGCUUUAGUUCUCUGAUGCCCUUUUCCUGGUCUGUUGCUACAGGGACUAAAUGAGACAGAAUGUGCAAACAAAGCACAGGCACAAGGGCUGGUGGGCAGACCGUGAACUCCUAGAAGCCAGGGACAGUCUUCUUUGGUCCAGCACCUGACACUCAGGAGGAGCUCAAUAAAUGUGCGUGCAAUUGAAUGAAUGAAUUUCAUGGGAGGCCAGGUGGGGAAAAAGUUGAUUCCAGCUGGAAAGAAUGGAUUACAGCCUUUAAGAAGAUGGUGUGUGUGGGCUUUUGAGCUGGAUGUUGAUGACAGCAUGGAGAACCACAGAGAACAGUCUCUCAGGAGAAGAUUUAAGGAUCUAUUUUCUGUCACAGGGGAAUGUCAAUUUAGGGAGAAAGUUGGUUUAUUUAAUAAAAGAUGCUGCCAUAUCAGUGAUCCAUCUGGAAGAAAAUAAAGUCAAAUCCUCCACUCCUACCUGACACCACCUGCAUGAUAGAUCCCCAAUGGAUUAAAGUUUUAGAGUGAAAAAUAAGAGCUAAAAAUAUUAGAAGAAAAUUCAGAAGAAUAAUUAUUGAAACUUGUGGGGGCAGGAAACCCAGAAGCCAUACAAAAGAAAGAUUCGGUUAUGGAAAAAAAGAUUUCUGAGUGAUGUAAGUUCCCAUAAAUAAAAUAAAAUAGCCAACAACAACA